Urocitellus parryii (Arctic ground squirrel) is the source of this 402-nucleotide long non-coding RNA. RefSeq lists it as uncharacterized. The record is from RefSeq and is a predicted model, not a curated record. Lineage: Eukaryota; Metazoa; Chordata; Mammalia; Rodentia; Sciuridae.
AGGUGCUACUUAUAGGAAAACGGGAAAGGUCGGCCCCUAAUGCCAGCGACUUGGAGCUCCGCUAAUAUCAAGGCACUUACUUACCCUAGUUGACUUGGACACUGUGAAAGAGAAUUGGAGAAAUGGACUGAGUUCCCCGGGAGAGGUCCAUCAGACAACUGCGGUGACAUACACAAAGCAAUUAGCGAAGGCCAGCUGAUGAAAGCUACACCUCCAGCAUAAGAAAUAAAACACUUAAGGACAUUGCCAAAUAGGAAUUGAUUUGAGAGGUGGAAAGUCUUUAGGAGUUUACUGCUGAAGUCACAUGGAGAUAAGAGGAAGACCUUCUAUGAAGGAGAACCACCAUACAGGCCGCACGCUGUGGCUGUAAUCCCAGCGGCUCAGAAGACUGAGACAGGAGGA